RNAcentral lists this ribosomal RNA (253 nucleotides) under uncultured bacterium. RNAcentral's name for it is "partial 16S ribosomal RNA". It matches the Rfam family "Bacterial small subunit ribosomal RNA", at positions 524 to 776 of the family's 1533-position model. The record is from RNAcentral.
UCCGAAGGGGGCUAGCGUUGUUCGGAUUUACUGGGCGUAAAGCGCACGUAGGCGGGUCGUUAAGUCAGGGGUGAAAUCCCGGAGCUCAACUCCGGAACUGCCUUUGAUACUGGCGACCUUGAGGCCGGAAGAGGUUAGUGGAAUUCCCAGUGUAGAGGUGAAAUUCGUAGAUAUUGGGAAGAACACCAGUGGCGAAGGCGGCUAACUGGUCCGGAUCUGACGCUGAGGUGCGAAAGCGUGGGGAGCGAACAGG